CUAAGAAUAUUCCGCAAUGGACGGAAGUCUGACGGAGCGACGCCGCGUGGAUGACGAAGGCCGAAAGGUUGUAAAGUUCUUUUGCUGGGGAAGAAUAACCGCAGGAGGGAAUGCCUGUGGGAUGACAAGAACCGGCGAAUAAGCCCCGGCCAACUACGUGCCAGCAGCCGCGGUAACACGUAGGGGGCGAGCGUUGUUCGGAAUUACUGGGCGUAAAGGGCAUGUAGGCGGCUUGGAAAGCCUGGCGUGAAAGUCUGCAGCUUAACUGCAGGGGUGCGCUGGGGACUGCUGAGCUUGAGUGACGGAGAGGGAGCUGGAAUUCCUGGUGUAGGGGUGAAAUCUGUAGAUAUCAGGAAGAACACCGAUGGCGAAGGCAAGCUCCUGGCCGAUGACUGACGCUGAGGUGCGAAAGUGUGGGGAUCAAACAGGAUUAGAUACCCUGGUAGUCCACACAGUCAACGAUGUGCACUAGGUGCUGGGGCGGUAGCUUCGGUGCCGGAGCGAACGUGGUAAGUGCACCGCCUGGGGAGUAUGCUCGCAAGGGUGAAACUCAAUGAAUUGAC
RNAcentral lists this ribosomal RNA (563 nucleotides) under uncultured bacterium. Its description in RNAcentral is "partial 16S ribosomal RNA". It matches the Rfam family "Bacterial small subunit ribosomal RNA", at positions 355 to 914 of the family's 1533-position model. The record is from RNAcentral.